RNAcentral lists this long non-coding RNA (567 nucleotides) under Vulpes vulpes (red fox). RNAcentral describes it as "lncRNA (ENSVVUG00000016628.1)". The record is from RNAcentral. Lineage: Eukaryota; Metazoa; Chordata; Mammalia; Carnivora; Canidae.
UAGUCCUUGAGAAAAUUACCGUUAAGAAAUUAGCGUGUGAAGUGCAAAAACAAACUUGGGGAUUCCUCGAUAUCCAUUACUUCCUAUCCUGCAGCUACUUUUUUCUCAAGUCAAGAUGGUAAAACCCUGUUGGAGUGACAACCAGCAGAAAAGCAGCCAUAAACAGGUUCAGCAGUCACCUAGGGCGACCGGAGACAGGUGCCCGCUAACAAGUGGGGACGCAGCCUUUAGGAACUGCUUUGGAGACUCCAAGGCUGCUGAUUUCACACAAGCAACAGCCAAAGAAGCACAGGUGUGCGUGUGCGUGUGCGUGUGCGUGUGUGUGUGUGUGCAUUGCUGUGGUCACCGUCUUUUGGAGGAACAGUUUUACACCCAGGUAAGUUGGCUCUGGGAAAAGAAGUCCCUACUUACAUCAUAGUAAAUGUGGAGUGGGAUCUGUUCCCUCAUGACUUCUUUUGAGACUUUCACGUCAUAUGUAACAAUUCAGAGACGUAGGAUGCUGUUCAGGUAUUAUUUUAGGUUGCUGGAGGAACAUUCUGGAGCUAUUGUGAUACCUCCAACUGCUGA